GACAUUCAACUGCAAUUUUCUCAUUUGGAGCACUGAGAGAACAAAUAAUGGCUGCAGUGUGAAUGCUCUGGACCAUGAGGGCUGGAACAGAAAUCCUGUCAGUUUCAAGUCAUAGAACAAUGC
Long non-coding RNA from Hyaena hyaena (striped hyena), 123 nucleotides. RefSeq lists it as uncharacterized. Lineage: Eukaryota; Metazoa; Chordata; Mammalia; Carnivora; Hyaenidae. The transcript is spliced from 3 exons. The record is from RefSeq and is a predicted model, not a curated record.